UACGUAGGGUGCAAGCGUUGUCCGGAAUUAUUGGGCGUAAAGAGCUCGUAGGCGGUCUGUUGCGUCUGCUGUGAAAACUCAGGGCUUAACCCUGAGCUUGCAGUGGGUACGGGCAGACUAGAGUGCGGUAGGGGAGACUGGAAUUCCUGGUGUAGCGGUGAAAUGCGCAGAUAUCAGGAGGAACACCGGUGGCGAAGGCGGGUCUCUGGGCCGAGACUGACGCUGAGGAGCGAAAGCGUGGGGAGCGAACAGG
RNAcentral lists this ribosomal RNA (253 nucleotides) under uncultured bacterium. RNAcentral describes it as "partial 16S ribosomal RNA". It matches the Rfam family "Bacterial small subunit ribosomal RNA", at positions 524 to 776 of the family's 1533-position model. The record is from RNAcentral.